GAAACACGGACCAAGGAGUUUAAUUUACAUGCGAGUUUGCGAGUGCAAAACUCAUAAGCGAAAUGAAAGUGAGUCCAAGGUGCCAAGCCGCAAGGUAGCAGCAUCGGCCUUCCCUGAUCUUCUGUGAAGGGUAUGAGCAAGAGCAUGUAUGUUAAGACCCGAAAGAUGACGAUCUAUGCUUGAGUAGGAUGAAGCCAGGAGAAAUUCUGGUGGAGGUCCGAACAGAUACUAACGUGCAAAUUGUUCUGCGAACUUGAGUAUAGGGGCGAAAAACCAAUCGAGUCUUCUAGUAGCUGGUUCCUUCUGAAGUUUCUCUCAGGACAGCAAGGACAACAACGCAGUUUUAUUAGGUAAAGCGAAUGAUUAGAGGCCUCCGGGGCUUAAUGUCCUGGACCUAUUCUCAAACUUUAAAUUGGUAAGAGCCUUCGGUUUUCUUAAUUGAACCGAGGGGCAGAAUGCGUGUUCUUAGUGGGCCAUUUUUGGUAAGCAGAACUGGCGAUGAGGGAUGCUCCUAAAGUCGAGUUAAGGUGCCUAAAUUGCAAGCAUCAGACACCAUGAAAGGCGUUGAUUCGUUCAGACAAUCGGAACGUGACCCUGAGAGUAGGUAUCGUUUAAAGACCGUUUCCCACCCACCGAUUUAACGAAUCAGCCCUAAAAAUGGAUGGCGCUAUAUUGUAAUACCGACACUCGACCUUCAAGGCAAAAAGCAGCCUUGAAGAGUAAGAAGGCGUGGAAGUAGUGCUGAAGCCGCGACGUGAGUCUAGGUGGAACUGCUUCUAGUGCAGAUCUUGGUGGUAGUAGUAAUUAUUCAAAUGAGAACUUUGAAGACUGAAGCUAGAGACGGGUUCCGUGAGAACAGCAAUUGGUCACGGGUUACUCGAUCCUAAGGCAAGGCGGAAACGCCGCGAAGCAGUGUUCCACUGCGGUGCCGAAAGGGAAUGAGGUUAAUAUUCCUCAAGUUUGCAAUGGAUCCUGUGUGGCAACACAAACAACCUCGGAGACAUCGGCGCGUACCCCUGGAAGAGUUUUCUUUUCUUCUUAACCGCUCGAAGCCAUGGAAUUGGAUUAUCCAGAGAUAUGGCCUUAAGGCGGGAAGAGCGACUCACUCUUGGGUCGGUGGUGCGUUCGCGACGAUCAGUGAAAAUCCGAGCUCGAUACUCAAUCCAUUCAAAAUCGUACCAUAACCGCAUCAGGUCUCCAAGGUUAGCAGCCUCUGGUCAACUAGAAGAAAGUCAUUUAGGGAAUUCGGCAAAAUAGAUCCGUAACUUCGGGAAAAGGAUUGGCUCUGAGGACUGGGCAUGCAUCCCUCUGUCCACGACCGAUUGGACUUGACUGAGGGCCUAGCUCUAGGUCGAGAACGAGGAGUUGGUGACUCUGGGUUUGUAUGCGAUCAUCAGUCAGCUCAGAACUGAAGCGGUCAAGGGGAAUCUAACUGUUUAAUAAAAACAAAGCUUUGUGAUGUCCCGAAAGGGUUUUGACACAAUGUGAUUUCUGCCCAGUGCUUUGAACGUUAACGUGAAGAAAUUCAACUAAGCGCAGGUAAACGGCAGGUGUAACUAUAACACUUUUAAGGUAGCCAAAUGCCUCGUCAUCUAAUUAGUGACGUGCAUGAAUGGAUCAAUGAGAUUCCUACUGUCCCAAAUGACCAUCUAACGAACCCACAGCCAAGGGAACGGGCUUGGCAAAAUCAGCGGGGAAAGAAGACCCUGUUGAGCUU
RNAcentral lists this ribosomal RNA (1717 nucleotides) under wastewater metagenome. Its description in RNAcentral is "eukaryotic LSU rRNA". It matches the Rfam family "Eukaryotic large subunit ribosomal RNA", at positions 656 to 2423 of the family's 3401-position model. The record is from RNAcentral.